RNAcentral lists this transfer RNA (86 nucleotides) under Ilumatobacter sp. Its description in RNAcentral is "tRNA-Tyr". It matches the Rfam family "tRNA". From Rfam's summary of the family: Transfer RNA (tRNA) molecules are approximately 80 nucleotides in length. Their secondary structure includes four short double-helical elements and three loops (D, anti-codon, and T loops). RNAcentral also lists the same sequence under 3 other names. The record is from RNAcentral. Lineage: Bacteria; Bacillati; Actinomycetota; Acidimicrobiia; Acidimicrobiales; Ilumatobacteraceae.
GGGUCGGUGCCCGAGUGGCCAAAGGGAGUUGACUGUAAAUCAACCGGCGUCGUCCUACGGAGGUUCGAAUCCUUCCCGGCCCACCA